This 448-nucleotide ribosomal RNA is filed under the name uncultured bacterium. RNAcentral describes it as "bacterial SSU rRNA". It matches the Rfam family "Bacterial small subunit ribosomal RNA", at positions 329 to 794 of the family's 1533-position model. The record is from RNAcentral.
GGCCAGACUCCUACGGGAGGCAGCAGUGGGGAAUAUUGCACAAUGGGGGAAACCCUGAUGCAGCGACGCCGCGUGAGUGAAGAAGUAAUUCGUUAUGUAAAGCUCUAUCAGCAGGGAAGAAAAUGACGGUACCUGAGUAAGAAGCCCCGGCUAACUACGUGCCAGCAGCCGCGGUAAUACGUAGGGGGCAAGCGUUAUCCGGAUUUACUGGGUGUAAAGGGGGCGCAGACGGCGAUGCAAGCCAGGAGUGAAAGCCCGGGGCCCAACCCCGGGACUGCUCUUGGAACUGCGUGGCUGGAGUGCAGGAGGGGCAGGCGGAAUUCCCGGUGUAGCGGUGAAAUGCGUAGAUAUCAGGAGGAACACCGGCGGCGAAGGCGGCCUGCUGGACCGCGACUGACGUUGAGGCUCGAAAGCGUGGGGAGCGAACAGGAUUAGAUACCCGUGUAAU